Molecule: long non-coding RNA, 427 nt
Organism: Oreochromis aureus
Lineage: Eukaryota; Metazoa; Chordata; Actinopteri; Cichliformes; Cichlidae
Source: Ensembl
GCUGAGACGCAGCGGAGCGGAGGUGGAGUGCCUGGAUUAAAACAGGACAUAUUAGCAGCAUUUAACCUUCAGUUACUCUUUAUGUAGUUAGAUAGGAGUCAUGUUUCUUUUUAGCUGAAAAACAUUACACCCAGGUAACCUGCAGUGUUGAAAACGUGUUUUCCAGUGAUGUUUGCUACCCUACAAUCCGUCCUACUCUGUAGUAAAUUCAGCGACAUUUGACCGUCCUGUUGCUCCCACUGAAAUAGAGACAGUCAGGUUAAUAAUGGAUAUAAGGAAGUUUUUUCAAAAACAGGAGCCACAUUCAGUCCAAAGAGGGAGAGAGGAAAGAGGGGAACAUGAGGAGAAAGUACAAGGUCAGGAAGAACCAGCCAGCGGGGAAGGAGGAGCACAUUUCAAGAGCGUUGCAGCUGAGAUUAAAACCUGA